This 301-nucleotide ribosomal RNA is filed under the name uncultured bacterium. Its description in RNAcentral is "partial 16S ribosomal RNA". It matches the Rfam family "Bacterial small subunit ribosomal RNA", at positions 509 to 807 of the family's 1533-position model. The record is from RNAcentral.
CAGCAGCCGCGGUAAUACAGAGGGUGCGAGCGUUAAUCGGAUUUACUGGGCGUAAAGCGUGCGUAGGCGGCUUUUUAAGUCGGAUGUGAAAUCCCUGAGCUUAACUUAGGAAUUGCAUUCGAUACUGGGAAGCUAGAGUAUGGGAGAGGAUGGUAGAAUUCCAGGUGUAGCGGUGAAAUGCGUAGAGAUCUGGAGGAAUACCGAUGGCGAAGGCAGCCAUCUGGCCUAAUACUGACGCUGAGGUACGAAAGCGUGGGGAGCAAACAGGAUUAGAUACCCCUGUAGUCCCUGUCUCUUAUAC